Molecule: ribosomal RNA, 460 nt
Filed under: uncultured bacterium
Lineage: Bacteria
Description: partial 16S ribosomal RNA
Rfam family: Bacterial small subunit ribosomal RNA
Source: RNAcentral
CCUACGGGAGGCAGCAGUGAGGAAUAUUGGUCAAUGGACGAGAGUCUGAACCAGCCAAGUAGCGUGAAGGAUGACUGCCCUAUGGGUUGUAAACUUCUUUUAUAUGGGAAUAAAACGUUCCACGUGUGGGAUUUUGUAUGUACCAUAUGAAUAAGGAUCGGCUAACUCCGUGCCAGCAGCCGCGGUAAUACGGAGGAUCCGAGCGUUAUCCGGAUUUAUUGGGUUUAAAGGGAGCGUAGGUGGAUUGUUAAGUCAGUUGUGAAAGUUUGCGGCUCAACCGUAAAAUUGCAGUUGAAACUGGCAGUCUUGAGUACAGUAGAGGUAGGCGGAAUCCGUGGUGUAGCGGUGAAAUGCUUAGAUAUCACGAAGAACUCCGAUUGCGAAGGCAGUUCACUGGACUGCAACUGACACUGAGGCUCGAAAGUGUGGGUAUCAAACAGGAUUAGAUACCCCAGUAGUC